AUUGAACGCUGGCGGCAGGCCUAACACAUGCAAGUCGAGCGGAUGAAGGGAGCUUGCUCCUGGAUUCAGCGGCGGACGGGUGAGUAAUGCCUAGGAAUCUGCCUGGUAGUGGGGGAUAACGUCCGGAAACGGGCGCUAAUACCGCAUACGUCCUGAGGGAGAAAGUGGGUGAUCUUCGGACCUCACGCUAUCAGAUGAGCCUAGGUCGGAUUAGCUAGUUGGUGGGGUAAAGGCCUACCAAGGCGACGAUCCGUAACUGGUCUGAGAGGAUGAUCAGUCACACGGGAAGUGAGACACGGUCCAGACUCCUACGGGAGGCAGCAGUGGGGAAUAUUGGACAAUGGGCGAAAGCCUGAUCCAGCCAUGCCGCGUGUGUGAAGAAGGUCUUCGGAUUGUAAAGCACUUUAAGUUGGGAGGAAGGGCAGUAAGUUAAUACCUUGCUGUUUUGACGUUACCAACAGAAUAAGCACCGGCUAACUUCGUG
RNAcentral lists this ribosomal RNA (484 nucleotides) under uncultured bacterium. RNAcentral's name for it is "partial 16S ribosomal RNA". It matches the Rfam family "Bacterial small subunit ribosomal RNA", at positions 30 to 507 of the family's 1533-position model. The record is from RNAcentral.